Molecule: ribosomal RNA, 484 nt
Filed under: uncultured bacterium
Lineage: Bacteria
Description: partial 16S ribosomal RNA
Rfam family: Bacterial small subunit ribosomal RNA
Source: RNAcentral
AGUGAACGCUGGCGGCGUGCUUAACACAUGCAAGUCGAACGAGAACGGAUUAUAGCUUGCUAUAAUUGUCAGCUAAGUGGCGCACGGGUGAGUAAUGUAUAGGUAAUAUGCCUCAUACUAAGGGAUAACAAAUGGAAAUGUUUGCUAAUACCUUAUACUCCUUAUUAACAGAAGUUAAUAAGGGAAAGAUUUAUUGGUAAGAGAUUAGCCUGUAUUGUAUCAGUUAGUUGGUGGGGUAAUGGCUUACCAAGACUAUGACACAUAACUGGUUUGAGAGGAUGAACAGUCACACUGGAACUGAGACACGGGCCAGACUCCUACGGGAGGCAGCAGUGGGGAAUAUUGAACAAUGGUCGAAAGUCUGAUGCAGCAACGCCGCGUGGAGGAUGACACAUUUCGGUGCGUAAACUCCUUUUAUAUGAGAAGAUAAUGACGGUAUUAUAUGAAUAAGCACCGGCUAACUCCGUGCCAGCCGCCGCCGUAA